CUGCGCUGCAGACAGAGGAAUGGUGACACAGUCGCAGCUUAUUUCUUCAUCAAAGGAAGUUCUGUUGGUCAUAAACCAGAGCUCAUCAUCACUAACAUCACACAGGCUGAUGAAGGUCUCUACUCAUGUUCUACUGAUGAGGGUGGAAAGUCUCCUCAGAGCUCUCUGAGGGUCAGAGGUCAGAACACUGACAUCACUUCCUGUUUAAAAGCUGAUGUAACAUUGUGACCUGAUAAUAAACUGACUGAACCAUCUUCAUCAUCUCUCCUGCAGAUCCUCUCAAAAUCAUCCAUCCUCCUCCUCCUCACUGUCCUCCUCCUCCAAGCACCUCCACAAACUUUGCUCCUCCUGUAGAAACUGGUCUUACGUGUCCUCCCUGUUCUUCUCCUCCUCCUCCUUCUCUCGUGGUCCCAGUUGUAGCAGGUCUGGUCUCUGGGGUUCUCCUGGUUCUGGUUCUGGGUGGAGUUCGGUUCCUCUGCAGUAAACUAAAAGGAGGUGUGGGAGCAGACCUGUGGAGCUGUGGAGGUGACGGCUGUCUGAGACGGAGCGUCUGCCUCUGCUUUUCAGGCCUGUUUCUGCUGACUGCUGCAGGUGAGCUGAUGUUCCUACACCUGUCUGUCCUCAUCAUGACCUCUGACCUUUGGUGACCUCUGUCCUGUUGCAGGUGUGUGUGUGCUGCUGCUGUCUGCUCUGGCUGCAGGUGAGUAGAGGAUGAAGAACAAACACUAAUAAAUGAAGGAGGAGGGAGAAAAGUCCUCUGGAGGAAGAGCCACAGACAGAGUCCUCCUUCAUUACUGCUGCACUUAAAAUAUUGUUACCACACUCUGCUCCUGAAUCAGGAGGCUUUCUUUUUCUUUCUACCGUCUUGUCAGCUGUCAGCACUGCACAGUGUUUACCACCUUGGGCCAUUACUGUUUUCAUUGUAUCUCCUGCCACUGGGUGCGAUCUUUCGUAAACACAAAGUUUCAUUUCAUUUAUAUGCUGAUGAUUGCCAGCUCUAUUUUCCUUUCAGUCAUUCUGAUAGCUCUCCAAUUAGACUCCUG
This 1043-nucleotide long non-coding RNA is filed under the name Oreochromis niloticus (Nile tilapia). RNAcentral describes it as "lncRNA (ENSONIG00000042840.1)". The record is from RNAcentral. Lineage: Eukaryota; Metazoa; Chordata; Actinopteri; Cichliformes; Cichlidae.